CUUGAGCCAAAAUGAAACCAAUUAGAGGCUUAGUAAAUGGGUUCCAGCCACCCCAGGAAACUUAACCAUCCACGAGUCAGUUCAGCCGAGGUAGAACCUCAGUGCAGGAGUUUAGCAUGAUAUAGAUUGCUACUUUACAGAAUUUAUCCAGACCUGUCGCCAGGGUUGUGGUCUUGAGGAUGUGAAAUGUAUCCGCCCAACACAGCCACCCAGGUGCUGGGUUCAAAUCUCGAUAAACUACAUAGGGGUAUAUAGGUGGGGAACGUUAGCACCAUUGACUCUCAGGGGUCUCUUGCCACUGCCAUGGAGGUGGGGACAUAAGGAGAGGACUAGAAGCUGGGCCAGAGGGAACAGACAGAGAAAGAACAGAAAUCCUUUCAUUAGACCCUGUCUUCAAGAGCCUGGAUUGAAAUGUGGCCGUCUUGAGUAGGGGUGAGGAGGAAUCUACUUUUCAGCCUGGAGAAUAUAUGCUAUUUUGCUUUAGGCAGAAAGACUGGACAAAGACAUGAAGCCAUUUGUUCCGGUUCUUUGGUGGAGGGACAGAAGAAAGGGAAGUACUGGUUUCAAUUCCCCAGUGAAUCUGAUUGCUAAUUAACCAAAUUUAAUUAUCUAUCCCCUUUUAGGAGGGCGGGGGUUGGCUUAUACCACCAACAGGACAUUCUUCAGAAUGAAGUUUAAUUUUCCCAAGAAGGGAAGUGGCUGCAGUGUCAUACCUGUGUAGGAAAAAAUCCAUCCUGAUUGGCAGCUCUUUUCUCUCUGGAGCAGUCUCUCAGGGAGACCAUGCAGAGUUUUGAUCUAGAAAACAUAAACCUGGGUGCCUGAGCCAGGUAGAAAACCAAAGGCUCAAAAGGGCAGAGACAAACCCCUGUUAAACAGUUCCCCCUGGCUGAGGGGUGACCUUAGGGGUUCCCCUUUUCUCCAUCACUUUUUCCCAUCCUCAGGCCUCUGGGAGAAGAUGCUGUGUUAAAGGAUGAGGGCAGAAACCAGCCUGGCCUCUCUGGAACAGAGAAAGUUAGAGCUUUGAGCAUCAUGAACAACGGGAUAAAAAUAGCAGUGUUGCCAUGGCAACAGAGGCUGGGAGAGUCCUGAGGAUCUGUCUGGGUCCUGCCAUCUCCCCCUCCUGCCUUCCUCCCGCCCCUCAGAUGGAACACGGGAAUGAGCUGAAGGAGGAGAGACGGCUGCCCCAGAAGGGAAAGAGACAGACCAGCAGCCCACGAGGAAAACCCUUGAACUCCAGACUUGGGGGGUGGUUUCUGUCAGCUCCUGAGCUGCCCAGGUCUGGGAGCUCUUGGCUUUGGCAAUUUCUUCUUCAGUAUGACGACUUCCUCCAGGGAUGCCCUGGGCAGCUACCGCUCACCCUCCUGGUGGAUGGUUCUGACCUCCUGGGCUCCUCCGUGAAGAGUCAAGGUUCCUGUUUCUUCUUCAUGAUCUAUAGUUCCUACGCCAUGGAAAUUUAGAGAAGCGAACCCAGGCGGACUGGCCACAAUAACCCCGGCACAGUGGGCACUGACCACUCCAGGGAUGGCCUGGGGGUCCAGAGGAUUCACCCUGACAAGGCAGACACCCUUGUCAGCAAUAUGGACUUGGGGGGCUGUGUUUGUGUUGGGAGCAGGGUGAUGAUGGUGACAGCUCUCUCUUGCUCUUGCUUUUGGGUCAGAGAGAUAGAAUGUUCAUUCCUUGGGAACAGAUUCUGUUUCUUGGUUCUUGUGGUACUGUCAGCUUGAUCACCUGCUGGACAUAGCAGCCACCUUCAGGAGGAACACCAGACUUCCUGGACCAGCCUGCAAGGAGCCCACUGAACUCAGCAGCCCAGAGAUUUUCUUCUCUGGUGAAAGCCCACCUUUGCAGUUGUGAACCAAGUAUCUGUCUCCAAAAGUUCCAGCCACAUCUGGGCACAUCUGAUAAGUGUGCCCUUUAUAAUGCGUGCCUUCCUGUGAGGUAGGGAGGAAAUGGGACUCAUCGCCACCUGUUAUGGAGGAGGCUGGGAGAGAGGAGGCAAUUUGCCAAGGUCAGGAGUCAGUCAUGGCAGAACACUGGGGGGCUGUGGCUCUCCAUCCAGAAACAAUCACCAGCACAUUCCACCACCAGCAACUCUCCAGCCACUGGGCAAAAUGCAUAUUCAGUCUGUAGAUAGGACAAACUCCAGCCUGAGGCACUUCCCCUUGCAGAAGGCAAGGAAUGAGGUGGGGUGGUUUGAUCAGCAUGGAGAUGGGCACAUGAGGAGCUGUGCAAAGGGAAGCCCAUGGGUUACAUAACUGGAGCAGAGCGCCAGUCCUUGAGAUCUCUUCUAGAAUCACUUGAGCAUCUAUCUGCAGGUGGUUGUGGUGGUGGUGGUGGUGAUGCUGUGUGUAUGUGACAGAGAGAAAGUGAGAACGUACAUGAGAGUGGCGCCUGUGAUGGCCUAGACAGGACCUGAAGUCAGAGUCUAGGCCAACUGACUUACUCCCCUUGGGCCUGGCUGUAGGAGGGAAGAGAGGCAGAACUGCAAGGAGUCCUGGGCCCUGGCUAGGGGAAGAUUCUAGCAGAAGCUCUGGGUGACUUGCCUUUCCCUCUCACUCCCCCUCUCACUUCUCAGAGCCACCAUACCACUUCCAUCCACCCUCCAGAUAUGUCUGUUGUCUGCACGGAGUGCAUCUGUGAGGGCAGAGGAAACCUGCGACCCUCUGGUUCCACAACCCUAUGCCCCACUGAGGCUCAACUUCCCAGACUCACAGAGCCCUGGACUCCAAAGGAGACUUAAGAGGAAAUUCAUGUAAUCCCCUAUUUAUAGUUGAGGAACCUGAGUCUCAGAAAUAAGACAUGACUAGUCUAAGGUCACAUAGGUCAUUAGUUUCCAAGCAGGGCUAGAAGCCAGGAGACCUGGCUCCCAGCUCAGUGCUCCUUGCAUCCCACUCUAACACUUCAUGUGUAUUUCAGUUAGUUAAUUAUUGCUUUUUUUUUUCUAAAAAUAACAAUCUCCCUAUAUAUUUCUAUGAACCCAUAUGCUACAUGCAAAAAGCCCUUCCCUGGGAGCAGAGAAGGAAAUGACAUUCUGAUAAAAAGGUUUCAACCUGAGACAAGAAGCCCCUUGGGUCCUGUGGGCCAGGGUCCUAGGCAACACUCAAGUCACAAGGACCCCAAGCACCCUUCACACUUCUUGAUCUUCCAUUCAGCAGCCUGAAGCCCAAGAGGGAAAAUGGCCAUGGGAAGUCCUCGCUUUACAGAUGGGGAAAACUGGCCCCCUCACCCAUCUGCAAGGAGGAAUCAGUGCCACGCAGCAAGAACAAGAGGCCUGAUCUCCUCCACAGAAUCAUCUACCCAUGUGCCCCUCCCUCACCCCAAGAGCUCAGGGCCCCCACCUCAAGGUGGAGUCUCUGGGAGAGAACCAUGGAGAGAGGAUGGGAAGGCAGGGCAGCCUGGCCCACCCUAGAAGGAGCAGAAGCCUGGCCCGAAGUCAGAGGCCCAGGGCGCAGGGUCUGCGAAUGCUGGGGCUGCUUUGGCCUUUCCCUAUUCCCUGGGCUCAUCCAAGGGCCUAGAGGAGGGCACAGGUGUCCAGACUGCUUCCUGAGAUGCUAAAAGGAGCAAAGUCCCCAUUUUCCUGAGAAGGAAACUGAGGGACAAUAGAAUGUGGGGUUGGGGUGUGCCUGGCUAGAAGCUGCUACCUCCUGCUCAGACAAUUCCAGCUGCAGUGCUGGCCCCAACCUCAGCCCUGGGUGAAGAAGGGGCUGCCGGCUUGGAGGCAGAGGACAACUGGACCUCCACUCAGAACACUUUGACCUUGGGACCCCACCCAUGUUCCCAAAGCCAGGGCUCAAGAUAUCUAGUAUCCCUCUGGAACCAAGGGAGUUCUCCCGGGGGAGGAAGCUCUCUGGAUGGGCUCACUGCCAAACCCCUGCAGCUGCAAUCCCUGCCAAGGUCUGAGAGGCGCACAAGGGGAAAGCUCUCCUCGGCCACCCGCUCCCCAGGACGUACUUUCUCCACUUUCCUAACCUUUCCUCCUGGUGAGCCUGUGUGGUCAGGACAUAACACCCAAUAUCUCUGAGUCUCCGGGGAUACAAUUUCAUCCUCUGCCACAGAAGUGACUUUUCUAGGAUUGCAGCCUCGCAGGUGACCGCUAGGGAAACACAUGCCCUCCAGGAGGCUCUCUGGCCUCUGUAUCAAGAAGCCGUGGAGACCACAGAAGCAGGCGAAAGUGAACUGGGGCAUGCCCUACGCCAGGCUGGGGGAACACUCACCAGAGAUCUGCAGGGAAAGGCAGGGGAGGGAGAGGGGGCA
RNAcentral lists this long non-coding RNA (4254 nucleotides) under Pan troglodytes (chimpanzee). Its description in RNAcentral is "long non-coding RNA NONPTRT000629". The record is from RNAcentral. Lineage: Eukaryota; Metazoa; Chordata; Mammalia; Primates; Hominidae.